GACACAACAACACUUAGGUACUCCUUUUCAGGAGAUCUCUCCCUCUCCUCCUUUGUUUUCAGCUGUUGUCUUUGCAUCCCUAUCGCUAGCACUGCGCACACAAUCCUAGCAAGAGCAGGCCUCCGAAACCCUACAUGCUGAAGGUCCUACACGGGAUAGUGAGCAAUCAGGUUUUUGGGAAGCGUCUCCACGCGACUGCUUGCUUGCUCCCUGAACGACUACGUCGUCUACAUCCCAAUGGCCUGU
RNAcentral lists this long non-coding RNA (246 nucleotides) under Setaria viridis. Its description in RNAcentral is "long non-coding RNA (SVIR_LNC005432)". Lineage: Eukaryota; Viridiplantae; Streptophyta; Magnoliopsida; Poales; Poaceae. The record is from RNAcentral.